CCUAGGGGAGGCAGCCGGGGGGAAUAUUGCGCAGUGGGCAAAAGCCUGACCCAGCGACGCCGCGUGGGGGAUGACCGCCUUCGGGUUGAAACCCUCUUUCAUGGGGGACGAUCCAAAAGUGACGGUACCUGCAGAAGAAGCACCGGUCAACUACGUGCCAUCAGCCGCGGUAAUGCAUAGGGUGCAAGCGUUGUCCGGAACUAUUGCGUGUAAAGAUCUCGUACGCGGUUUGUUGCGUCCGUUGUGAAAUCCCGACGCUCAACCUCGGGUCUGCACUCCAUACGAGCAAACUAGAGUGCUGCAGGGGAGACUGGAAUUCCUGGUGUAGCGGUGAAAUGCCCGUAUAUCACGAUGAACACCGGUGGCGAAGGCGGCUCUCUGGUCAACACCUGACGCUGAGGAUCUAAAGCUUGUGGAGCGAACAUGAUUAUGUACCCUGGUAGUCCACGCCCUACCGUUGGGCGCCUGGUGUGGGGAUCAUUCCACGAGUUCCGCGCCGCACCUAACGCAUUACGCGCCCCGCCUGGUGAGUACGGCCGCAACGCUCACACUCAAAGGAAUUGACGGGGGCCCGCACGAACUGCGGAGCAUGUUGCUUCAUUCUAUGCCCCGCGAAGAACCUUA
RNAcentral lists this ribosomal RNA (624 nucleotides) under uncultured bacterium. Its description in RNAcentral is "bacterial SSU rRNA". It matches the Rfam family "Bacterial small subunit ribosomal RNA", at positions 338 to 973 of the family's 1533-position model. The record is from RNAcentral.